GACGAACGCUGGCGGCGUGCUUAACACAUGCAAGUCGAACGGAAAGGCCCAGCUUGCUGGGUACUCGAGUGGCGAACGGGUGAGUAACACGUGGGUGAUCUGCCCCUGACUUUGGGAUAAGCCUGGGAAACUGGGUCUAAUACCGGAUAUGACCUUACAUCGCAUGGUGUUUGGUGGAAAGCUUUUGCGGUUGGGGAUGGGCCCGCGGCCUAUCAGCUUGUUGGUGGUGUAAUGGCCUACCAAGGCGACGACGGGUAGCCGACCUGAGAGGGUGAUCGGCCACACUGGGACUGAGACACGGCCCAGACUCCUACGGGAGGCAGCAGUGGGGAAUAUUGCACAAUGGGCGCAAGCCUGAUGCAGCGACGCCGCGUGAGGGAUGACGGCCUUCGGGUUGUAAACCUCUUUCACCAGGGACGAAGCGUGAGUGACGGUACCUGGAGAAGAAGCACCGGCCAACUACGUG
This 466-nucleotide ribosomal RNA is filed under the name uncultured bacterium. Its description in RNAcentral is "partial 16S ribosomal RNA". It matches the Rfam family "Bacterial small subunit ribosomal RNA", at positions 28 to 507 of the family's 1533-position model. The record is from RNAcentral.